RNAcentral lists this ribosomal RNA (666 nucleotides) under Triticum aestivum (bread wheat). RNAcentral describes it as "partial small subunit ribosomal RNA". Lineage: Eukaryota; Viridiplantae; Streptophyta; Magnoliopsida; Poales; Poaceae. The record is from RNAcentral.
AUGAGUUCUUAUCUCGUCUCCGCUCUGAGUUUGAGCCUCGCCGUGCUCACUUGCUUGCUCGUGGUCGUGUUCCUCUCUCGGAGGUGCUUGCCGAGCUUCGUGCUGAGGAGACCCGCCUUCGCUCUGCCGGGUUGCUGGCGGUUCCGUCUGUGUUGGCUGCUCGGGCUCCAGUGUCGGCUGCUCGGCUCACUGCUCCACCGCUCCUACCUACACCUUCAGGGGGUGGGUCGCCCUCCUUAUGCUGAGAAGGGCAGGUCGCGCCAUGACACGUUCUGUGGCUACUGCUCUCGGCUAGGUCACCCAGAGUCUGAUUGCCGUGAGAAGAAGCGAGACCGGAGGCGCUCCUCUCCCAGUGGGACUCCUGGAUCUACCUCGACUCCUUCACUUACUGACCAGGACAUUGUUCGGCUUAAACGCCUUCUGGCUUCCACCACUUCAUCACCAUCGGCAUCUACACCGUCAGGUACAUCUUCGUGGGUUUUGGACUCUGGAGCUUCCUUUCAUAUGUCCUCUGAUUCUUCAGCGUUGUCUUCUCUUCGCCCUCUUGAUUCUCCUAUUAAUGUUCUUACUGCCGAUGGCACAUCUCUUCCUGUUGCUAGUCGUGGUAUUCUUUCCACUCCAUUUUUUCUGUUCCUAGUGUUUCACAUGUUCCUCGCCUUACCAUGA